GGUGCGACGCGGUCCUGCUUUGCUGACAGUCUGUCUUGGCUAGUUAACACGCCUAUGUCGCUUAUUGAAACGUCAACUGCGUGUGCCAAUUCAUUUAAUCUUUGAUCACAGUAAAACGGCUGAUUCUUUGCCCAUGGCGAAUUGUGGAUGAUUGCGGUGGAGCCUUCACUAUGGGUGUCAUCGGUGGCGGAGUCUUCCAGGCCAUCAAGGGUUUCCGCAAUGCCCCUGUUGGAAUUCGGCACCGGUUGAGAGGUAGUGCCAACGCUGUGAGGAUCCGAGCCCCCCAGAUUGGAGGUAGCUUCGCAGUGUGGGGGGGCCUGUUCUCCACCAUCGACUGUGGCCUGGUGCGGCUUCGGGGCAAGGAGGAUCCCUGGAACUCUAUCACCAGUGGAGCAUUGACCGGGGCUGUGCUGGCUGCCCGCAGUGGCCCACUGGCCAUGGUGGGCUCAGCGAUGAUGGGGGGCAUCCUGUUGGCCCUCAUUGAGGGCGUUGGCAUCCUCCUCACUCGCUACACGGCCCAGCAGUUCCGAAAUGCACCCCCAUUCCUGGAGGACCCCAGCCAGCUGCCCCCUAAGGACGGCACCCCGGCCCCAGGCUACCCCAGCUAUCAGCAGUACCACUGAGGAAGCCACUGCCACCAUGGGAGCUACUUCUCGGUUCCCUCCCCGAUGAUCUACCUCGAAGGGAGGGCUGGCUCCCAGUUAGCCCUGGGACCCUCCAGAGAGGGCUUCUACUCUGCUCCCUAGUCCCAGGGUGGGGGUGGGGCACCCCAGCUGCCCUGACAGAUGGGUCCCCUUU
Molecule: small RNA, 798 nt
Filed under: Pongo abelii (Sumatran orangutan)
Lineage: Eukaryota; Metazoa; Chordata; Mammalia; Primates; Hominidae
Description: processed transcript
Source: RNAcentral